AGAGUUUGAUCAUGGCUCAGAUUGAACGCUGGCGGCAGGCCUAACACAUGCAAGUCGAACGGUAACAGGAAGCAGCUUGCUGCUUCGCUGACGAGUGGCGGACGGGUGAGUAAUGUCUGGGAAGCUGCCUGAUGGAGGGGGAUAACUACUGGAAACGGUAGCUAAUACCGCAUAAUGUCGCAAGACCAAAGAGGGGGACCUUCGGGCCUCUUGCCAUCGGAUGUGCCCAGAUGGGAUUAGCUUGUUGGUGGGGUAACGGCUCACCAAGGCGACGAUCCCUAGCUGGUCUGAGAGGAUGACCAGCCACACUGGAACUGAGACACGGUCCAGACUCCUACGGGAGGCAGCAGUGGGGAAUAUUGCACAAUGGGCGCAAGCCUGAUGCAGCCAUGCCGCGUGUAUGAAGAAGGCCUUCGGGUUGUAAAGUACUUUCAGCGGGGAGGAAGGGAGUAAAGUUAAUACCUUUGCUCAUUGACGUUACCCGCAGAAGAAGCACCGGCUAACUCCGUGCCAGCAGCCGCGGUAAUACGGAGGGUGCAAGCGUUAAUCGGAAUUACUGGGCGUAAAGCGCACGCAGGCGGUUUGUUAAGUCAGAUGUGAAAUCCCCGGGCUCAACCUGGGAACUGCAUCUGAUACUGGCAAGCUUGAGUCUCGUAGAGGGGGGUAGAAUUCCAGGUGUAGCGGUGAAAUGCGUAGAGAUCUGGAGGAAUACCGGUGGCGAAGGCGGCCCCCUGGUCGAAGACUGACGCUCAGGUGCGAAAGCGUGGGGAGCAAACAGGAUUAGAUACCCUGGUAGUCCACGCCGUAAACGAUGUCGACUUGGAGGUUGUGCCCUUGAGGCGUGGCUUCCGGAGCUAACGCGUUAAGUCGACCGCCUGGGGAGUACGGCCGCAAGGUUAAAACUCAAAUGAAUUGACGGGGGCCCGCACAAGCGGUGGAGCAUGUGGUUUAAUUCGAUGCAACGCGAAGAACCUUACCUGGUCUUGACAUCCACGGAAGUUUUCAGAGAUGAGAAUGUGCCUUCGGGAACCGUGAGACAGGUGCUGCAUGGCUGUCGUCAGCUCGUGUUGUGAAAUGUUGGGUUAAGUCCCGCAACGAGCGCAACCCUUAUCCUUUGUUGCCAGCGGUCCGGCCGGGAACUCAAAGGAGACUGCCAGUGAUAAACUGGAGGAAGGUGGGGAUGACGUCAAGUCAUCAUGGCCCUUACGACCAGGGCUACACACGUGCUACAAUGGCGCAUACAAAGAGAAGCGACCUCGCGAGAGCAAGCGGACAUCAUAAAGUGCGUCGUAGUCCGGAUUGGAGUCUGCAACUCGACUCCAUGAAGUCGGAAUCGCUAGUAAUCGUGGAUCAGAAUGCCACGGUGAAUACGUUCCCGGGCCUUGUACACACCGCCCGUCACACCAUGGGAGUGGGUUGCAAAAGAAGUAGGUAGCUUAACCUUCGGGAGGGCGCUUACCACUUUGUGAUUCAUGACUGGGGUGAAGUCGUAACAAGGUAACCGUAGGGGAACCUGCGGUUG
This 1522-nucleotide ribosomal RNA is filed under the name metagenome. RNAcentral's name for it is "bacterial SSU rRNA". It matches the Rfam family "Bacterial small subunit ribosomal RNA". The record is from RNAcentral.